This 489-nucleotide ribosomal RNA is filed under the name uncultured bacterium. Its description in RNAcentral is "partial 16S ribosomal RNA". It matches the Rfam family "Bacterial small subunit ribosomal RNA", at positions 30 to 507 of the family's 1533-position model. The record is from RNAcentral.
UUGCACGCUGGCGGCAUGCUUUACACAUGCAAGUCGGACGGCAGCACAGAGAAGCUUGCUUCUUGGGUGGCGAGUGGCGAACGGGUGAGUAAUAUAUCGGAACGUACCGAGUAAUGGGGGAUAACUAAUCGAAAGAUUAGCUAAUACCGCAUAUUCUCUGAGGAGGAAAGCAGGGGACCUUCGGGCCUUGCGUUAUUCGAGCGGCCGAUAUCUGAUUAGCUAGUUGGUGGGGUAAAGGCCUACCAAGGCGACGAUCAGUAGCGGGUCUGAGAGGAUGAUCCGCCACACUGGGACUGAGACACGGCCCAGACUCCUACGGGAGGCAGCAGUGGGGAAUUUUGGACAAUGGGCGCAAGCCUGAUCCAGCCAUGCCGCGUGUCUGAAGAAGGCCUUCGGGUUGUAAAGGACUUUUGUCAGGGAAGAAAAGGCUGUUGCUAAUAUCGACAGCUGAUGACGGUACCUGAAGAAUAAGCACCGGCUAACUACGUG